AGCGAACGCUGGCGGCAGGCCUAACACAUGCAAGUCGAACGAACUCUUCGGAGUUAGUGGCGGACGGGUGAGUAACACGUGGGAACGUGCCUUUAGGUUCGGAAUAACUCAGGGAAACUUGCGCUAAUACCGAAUGUGCCCUUCGGGGGAAAGAUUUAUCGCCUUUAGAGCGGCCCGCGUCUGAUUAGCUAGUUGGUGAGGUAAAGGCUCACCAAGGCGACGAUCAGUAGCUGGUCUGAGAGGAUGAUCAGCCACAUUGGGACUGAGACACGGCCCAAACUCCUACGGGAGGCAGCAGUGGGGAAUCUUGCGCAACGGGCGAAAGCCUGACGCAGCCAUGCCGCGUGAAUGAUGAAGGUCUUGGGAUUGUAAAAUUCUUUCACCGGGGACGAUAAUGACGGUACCCGGAGAAGAAGCCCCGGCUAACUUCGUGCCAGCCGCCGCCGUAA
This 449-nucleotide ribosomal RNA is filed under the name uncultured bacterium. RNAcentral describes it as "partial 16S ribosomal RNA". It matches the Rfam family "Bacterial small subunit ribosomal RNA", at positions 29 to 523 of the family's 1533-position model. The record is from RNAcentral.